This is a non-coding RNA of Pelobates cultripes (western spadefoot toad), 678 nucleotides long. NCBI's taxonomy places the organism in Eukaryota, Metazoa, Chordata, Amphibia, Anura, Pelobatidae. The record is from the annotation of a GenBank genome assembly.
CGAGGUCAACUAAAAUAGCUAUUGAUAUUAUUUUGAAUAUCCUAUCACUAACAAUUUUAUUCAAACUAAAGAAGAAAUUAGAUAUUGUAUUAGUGGUUUGAUGUUUUUGCCCUUUUCCAAGUUUUGUAUUAAAGUAAAGCUCAAUUGGCUAGCCCACAACUGACCAUCCAGUAUUUUUAAAGAGACGCAUGGGGCAGAAAAGGGAUUUGAACACAAGACACAUUUCAUCCACACAAACGCAUGGUCCACACUCACCACCCGGAGAAAGUCACCUUCAUAUACACAGUAACCUUCACACACAGUCACUCCAGCCAUAACACACAAAACAACACAAGCAGCCCACCCAUAUAUACAACAGACUGCAAACAGCUGCCACACAUAUGAUCUAAGACAAAUAGAUAUGCUUACAGAUGCAAAGAUACAGAGGCAUUCAUUCCAGACAGUCAUCAAAACACAAACAUAUACACAGUGACAGACAAGCAUGCAGAGACACCAUUACAUAGACACAAGUACACACAGCCAGGUAUACACUGUGUCCAGAUGGAACAAUGUGAGGGUAAUAUGGUAUAGGUAAUGUGGAAAACUAUACAAUAUACAUAUAUUAACAUUUCAAGUUAACGUUACUCGCCAAUGCACCCUUCAAGAAGCCUGGAUGGUCCACGGCACAGCAAUCUCUUG